GACGAACGCUGGCGGCGUGCUUAACACAUGCAAGUCGAACGGAAAGGCCCCUUUUGGGUUACUCGCUUGGCUGACGGGUGGGUAACACGUGCGUAACCUACCCUUGCCUUCGUGUUGACUUCAUUAAACUGGGGCUAAUACCGGCUAGGUAUCCUCUCUGCCUGGUUGGGGGUGGUAAGCUUCGGGGGUCUUGGAUGGACUCGCGGGUUAUCUGCUUGUUGGUGGGGUAGUGGCUUACCAAGGCUUUGACGGGUAGGCGGCCCGGGAGGGGGGACGGCCACAUUGGGACUGAGAUACGGCCCAGACUCCUAAGGGAGGCAGGAGUGGGGAAAAAUGCACAAUGGGGGGAAGGCUGAUGGAGCAAAGCCGGGUGGGGGAUGAAGGCCUUCGGGGUGGAAAACGGUUUCAGCAGGGGAGGAGCUUGUGGUGACGGUACCUGCAGAAGAAGCACCGGCUAACUACGUG
Molecule: ribosomal RNA, 465 nt
Filed under: uncultured bacterium
Lineage: Bacteria
Description: partial 16S ribosomal RNA
Rfam family: Bacterial small subunit ribosomal RNA
Source: RNAcentral